AUACUUAAUAACUCGUCUUUAAAAAGCCAAGGGCUACAUUUUUGUAUUGUAUCAACAUAUGCCCUUAUUGUUCUUGGUCUUACUGGGGUGCCUCCUUCCUCUCACAAUUUCUCUUCCUCGGAGGCGAACAACUUCAAACCUUGAGUCAACCAUUUUCCCCAGUUUGCCUGAGAAAGUUCUAGGGACAGGCAACUUGAAAUAUAAACAAAAUAAAUCAAAACAAGAACACAUUGUUUUUUGAAAUGGUCACCCAUUCUUUCGCUCUUCCUCAGGGACGAGCAAUUUCACUUACCUCCAAGCUUCAGGCGUUCCCCGUACGGGCCACCAAAUGCUGCAGUCUGGCUGGGCACAAAAUAACCAAGCCACCACAAAAGCCUUGUAGAUUCAAACAGCAAAUCUUUAUUCCCGAACUCUCACUGGCACUCUACACGCAUGUUCUGGGAAAAUACACUCCCUCCACCGGGCUCUGCAUACCAAUACACUCAGAACCCCGCGAGAACUCAACGGGAACUCUAGGAGUGGGCGCCUGAGGCAGCAGGAUAUGCCCUAAUCCCAGCAGGAUCCGCCCUAAACCUGGAGCCGCCCUAUUCCAGCAGGAUCCACCCU
RNAcentral lists this long non-coding RNA (606 nucleotides) under Marmota monax (woodchuck). Lineage: Eukaryota; Metazoa; Chordata; Mammalia; Rodentia; Sciuridae. The record is from RNAcentral.